This is an RNA transcript of Culex pipiens pallens (northern house mosquito), 817 nucleotides long. RefSeq lists it as uncharacterized. NCBI's taxonomy places the organism in Eukaryota, Metazoa, Arthropoda, Insecta, Diptera, Culicidae. The record is from RefSeq and is a predicted model, not a curated record. The transcript has a single exon.
GAUAACGCGCAUCAGCUCUUCAGUCACUUCUCGAGAGCGGCCUAGACCUGGACCAGCAAGAUGGACUUCAAGGGAAAAGUGGUUAUCAUCACCGGCGCAAGCAGCGGAAUUGGGGCGGCUACGGCAAAGUAUCUGGCGGAACUUGGCGCCUCGCUCGUGUUGACGGGAAGAAACAUCGAAAAUCUACAAAAGGUCGGCCAGGAAUGUGAAGCCACUGGGAAGGCCAAGCUGUUGCUGGUUGUGGCGGACGUUUGCAGUGAGGACGAUAACGUGCAAGUUGUUGGCGAAACCGUUAAGAAGUUUGGCUAACUGGACGUUCUGGUCAACAAUGCGGGGAAAGGAGUCAUGGGCAGCAUCGAGACAACUAGUUUGAGCCAGUUUGACGAUAUUAUGAACACCAACCUGCGGGGACCUUAUCAAGAGCAAGGGGAACAUCGUGAACGUAUCGUUCGUGGCCGGGACCAGAUCGUUCUCCGGAAGUUUGGCGUAUUGCAUUUCGAAGGCCGCGCUGGACCAGUUCACGAGAUGUGUGGCGUUGGAGUUGGCGCCGAAGGGAGUUCGGGUCAACUCGGUGAACCCGGCGGUCAUCAUAACGGAUUUCCAGCGACGGCUUGGAAUGGAUGAUCCGACGUACGAGGCGUACCUGAAGCACUCGGACAGUGUUCACGCCAUGGGACGCGUUGGAAGGGCAUCGGAAGUGGCGGCGGCCAUUGCCUUUAUUGGCUCGGAUGCGGCCAGCUUUACCACCGGAAGUCAGCUUUGCGUGGAUGGGGGCAAGAAUGUCAUGUGUCCGCGGUAAUGCCAAUAAAUUUCAAAU